GUGUUGAAUGAAAACAGAGAAGCUUAGCACUCCCCUUGACAGAAAUGGAAGAGGCCCUUGGGCUUAACAACACCCACAUGCUUAAGGUGGUGCCACCUACUUCAGAAGCAGAAGCAGAAGCAAGG
Arvicanthis niloticus (Nile rat) is the source of this 125-nucleotide small nuclear RNA. The record is from RefSeq and is a predicted model, not a curated record. NCBI's taxonomy places the organism in Eukaryota, Metazoa, Chordata, Mammalia, Rodentia, Muridae.